Long non-coding RNA from Pogoniulus pusillus (Red-fronted tinkerbird), 1973 nucleotides. RefSeq lists it as uncharacterized. The record is from RefSeq and is a predicted model, not a curated record. Lineage: Eukaryota; Metazoa; Chordata; Aves; Piciformes; Lybiidae. The transcript has 9 exons.
UAUCUGUGCUGUUAGGAAGUUAGCGGUGCCAUGUCAAACCUGGCACGUGAGCUGAAACUGUUAGCAGCUUUGGAUCAGACCUGCCAGAUGCAAGCUUCACAGCCUUUCAGGUUAUUGUCUGGGUGCUGGUGACAAUGCCCCAGAUCAGGCUGCUGGAGCUGUCUGCUUUUGAGAUGUGGAUAAAGGAGGAAGGGAUCAACUAUGGCUACAGAGAGCUUCAUCUGCACUGGCAAGAGAGAUCUUCAUCUGCAUCAGAUCUUGGUUACUUGGGCAGGAGCUGGGUCACAGACCUUGUCCAAGAGUCCUGGCACCCUGCAAGUAGCAGAUGGGCCUGUGAAAGCCAGAGGAAAGGCUUUCAGUGGCAAAGCAGACCUCAGCAGUUGGGAAUGGUGGUGAAAUGAAGUAAAUGAUGAAGAGACUGACGGCAGAGACACCCUUCCUGACAGAACUCCACACCUACAGCAACACAUCAUCUGUAAUGGAAAUCCCCCUUAAGCAGCACACAGACACCCACUGAUGCCUGGCACAGCAAAGAGAGUGAUGGAAAAACAGACUCCCUCUGUGAAGAGCAUUGUGACCCGAGGAUAAAUGAAGAGAAGGAGCAGCCAUGUCUGUCGUCGGCAUCCCGAGGAGUCCUGGCACGGUCACAAGCUGAGCAUGGCACAUUUGGUUCUGGGACAUCUGGUCUGCAUUUUCCACAGUGCACAUCUGCUGCUGCAGAAGUCACAGCCUCUCCUCGCUCCUUUGCUUGUAGCCCUGUGGCUGACACUGUUACUUCUCAGAAGCCCGCAGCACUCCAGAAGAAAACUAAUGGGGCCCAAAGACAAUAAAGGCACAAACCAACCACGCUGUCAUGCAAACACCCAGCAGCAGGCCCUCAGCCUUAAACACACGUAUGGAGAUCUCAACUAAUCAUAAACAGCCCAAGUGUCACCCAAGGAAACAGCCUCAGGGUGGAGCAAGCAGGGGCUGGAACUGGUGCUUAGUUUAGGCUGCAGAAAGGAGUUGAUUAAAGCUAAUGGAAAUUUUCCACUUCAGUGAGAACUUCCUUCAAAGAUCAGUUUUUUGGCUAAAUAGUGCCUCCAUCCCGGCACCUCUUGGUACCAACAUAUCGAGCCCAUAGACAGCUUGAAAAUGAGGCUGCUUCAGCAAGUCUUGCCCCCCCCCUCUUUCUUCCAGUCAAAUGUGCCUUUGGGACUGGAGAACACCUUGGCGAGGGAUAAGACUCAGUUCAAUCUGUCAAACUUAACCUCCCCUAGCCGGGCCCCUGGCGCAUACGUUCAUGGUCAGUAGGGUUUGGAAGGGCUUUUCCAAUGCCAAAGAAAACAUGAGCUAAAAAAGGACAGUUUGUGUGGCUGACUCGUCUGACCUUCAUGAACAGUGGCUGCGUGAGCUGCUCAGAGGGGACGCCCACCACACACCAGCCUGUGCUCCGGGAUACCUAAGAAAAUCUGUUCCCGUGACGUGGUGGAUGCUCGCCUGAGGGACCGGCAGAGACUGCAAGCCAAGAGCAGUAUGCAGAGCAGAGCAGCCCUGAGCCAUGGAGAAACACAGAGUGCUCCACGCACGAGAGCCAGCACAGCUGCUGGAACCAUAAGUGACAUUCUGCAUCCCUGGGGGUGUGUCUGUACCGGAGGAUGCAGUUCUGCACACCCUUUGUGGUGCACUGGUGACACCACCUGCACAGGAUGCUGAUGGCAGCCUGAGGGGAUCCUACAGCCUGAUGAGGAGCUGUGGAAUGUAUCAAGGCAUUUUCUCAAGUUAUAGGUGGCUGAGCCCUCAGGAAUGAAGUGACCUCUGUCACUGUGGCACAAAGAAGGCUUGGGAAUGCCAGGAUUUUCAUAUCAGAUGGAGGAGGCUUCUUUCAGCAUUUACAUAGGAACAGAGCGUGCUACUGAACCGAGAAUUUGGAAUCAGAGAGGCAGAACACCGUGAAAAAGACCAUAAAGUAAACCUCCUUCUCUUUUAAAAUG